GGGUGCGAUCAUACCAGCAAUAAUGCACGGAUCCCAUCAGAACUCGAAGUUAAGCUUGCUUGGGCGAGAGCAGUACUAGGAUGGGUGACCUCCUGGGAAGUCCUCGUGUUGCACCCCU
RNAcentral lists this ribosomal RNA (118 nucleotides) under Rosa chinensis. The record is from RNAcentral. Lineage: Eukaryota; Viridiplantae; Streptophyta; Magnoliopsida; Rosales; Rosaceae.